RNAcentral lists this ribosomal RNA (407 nucleotides) under uncultured bacterium. RNAcentral's name for it is "partial 16S ribosomal RNA". It matches the Rfam family "Bacterial small subunit ribosomal RNA", at positions 29 to 526 of the family's 1533-position model. The record is from RNAcentral.
AUUGAACGCUGGCGGCAGGCCUAACACAUGCAAGUCGAGCGGAGCGGCGGACGGGCGAGUAACGCCUAGGAAUCUGCCUGGUAGUGGGGGAUAACGUCCGGAAACGGGCGCUAAUACCGCAUACUCUCAGCUGAGCCUAGGUGGGCUUAGCUAGUUGGUCGGGUAAAGGCCUACAAAGCCGACGAUCCGUAACUGGUCUGAGAGGAUGACCAGCCACACUGAGACUGAGACACGGUCCAGACUCCUACGGGAGGCAGCAGUGGGGAAUAUUGCACAAUGGGCGCGAGCCUGAUGCAGCCAUGCGGAGUGUAUGAAGGAGGCGUUCGGGUUGUAAAGUACUUUCGGCGGUGAGGCGUUACCCGCAGAGGAAGCACCGGCUAACUCCGUGCCGGCAGCCGCGGUAAUUC